This 175-nucleotide ribosomal RNA is filed under the name uncultured bacterium. RNAcentral describes it as "partial 16S ribosomal RNA". The record is from RNAcentral.
GAGUCAGUGAGAUUGAGGCGACAUCUGAUCCAGCAAUGCCGCGUGAGUGAUGAAGGCCUUCGGGUUGUAAAGCUCUUUUACUAGGGAAGAAAAUAUCUGUACCUAUCUGGGAUGGCCCGGACCGGUUCAUGCCAGCCCCCCCGGUAUUAUAAUAUGCCCGCCGCCGCUAUAAUAA